Molecule: ribosomal RNA, 429 nt
Filed under: Chloroflexota bacterium
Lineage: Bacteria; Bacillati; Chloroflexota
Description: Chloroflexi bacterium partial 16S ribosomal RNA
Rfam family: Bacterial small subunit ribosomal RNA
Source: RNAcentral
UGGGGAAUAUUGCACAAUGGGCGCAAGCCUGAUGCAGCCAUGCCGCGUGUGUGAAGAAGGCCUUCGGGUUGUAAAGCACUUUCAGCGGGGAGGAAGGCGGUGAGGUUAAUAACCUCAUCGAUUGACGUUACCCGCAGAAGAAGCACCGGCUAACUCCGUGCCAGCAGCCGCGGUAAUACGGAGGGUGCAAGCGUUAAUCGGAAUUACUGGGCGUAAAGCGCACGCAGGCGGUUUGUUAAGUCAGAUGUGAAAUCCCCGGGCUCAACCUGGGAACUGAAUCUGAUACUGGCAAGCUUGAGUCUCGUAGAGGGGGGUAGAAUUCCAGGUGUAGCGGUGAAAUGCGUAGAGAUCUGGAGGAAUACCGGUGGCGAAGGCGGCCCCCUGGACGAAGACUGACGCUCAGGUGCGAAAGCGUGGGGAGCAAACAGG